UAGGGAAUUUUGCGCAAUGGGGGAAACCCUGACGCAGCAACACCGCGUGAAUGUUAAGCCCUUCGGGGUGUAAAGUUCUGUCAGUAGGGACGAAAUCUGACCGUACCUACAAAGGAAGCACCGGCUAACUCCGUGCCAGCAGCCGCGGUAAUACGGGGGGUGCAAGCGUUGUCCGGAAUCAUUGGGCGUAAAGCGUUCGUAGGCGGUAUAUCAAGUCUGGUGUUAAAGCCCGGGGCUCAACUCCGGUUCGGCACUGGAUACUGGUAAACUAGAAUGCGGUAGAGGUAAGGGGAAUUCCUGGUGUAGCGGUGAAAUGCGUAGAGAUCAUACAGAACACCGAUUGCGAAGGCAGCUUACCAAACUAUAUCUGACGUUGAGGCACGAAAGCGUGGGUAGCAAACA
This 402-nucleotide ribosomal RNA is filed under the name uncultured bacterium. RNAcentral's name for it is "bacterial SSU rRNA". It matches the Rfam family "Bacterial small subunit ribosomal RNA", at positions 355 to 774 of the family's 1533-position model. The record is from RNAcentral.